UCCAUAUUAAUCAGAUAUAAGUGCUUUGUGGCCAAAGCAAAGAGAAGUGUCGAAUUAAUUUGUCUUUUGUUUAGCUGGUUAAGUGCCUUUCAUGUGUAAUUCAACUCACGUCAGGAAUGUUUUAAGGGAUAUUGAAAACAAGACAUGACGUUACCCUCCAAAAGUUUACAUUCCAGUAGCGCUAUUAUCAUAUGACUGACAAGGAUUCAAAAAUUGCUAAAUGUUGUAAGAAAAGGACAGAACAAGAGCUGAGGGAAUUCAGAGAACAGAGAGAUUAUUUCUAAUUCGAGUGACAGCAUGUGGAGUCAGAGAAGGCUUCUUGAAGGAAAUUGCAUCUGAGCUGAAUGAACAGGAUCUGAGAUUGUGGUGAGGCUCUGGAUACGCUUUAUCCCACCUCAGUUUCUCUGGUGAGGCCCUUUGCCAUGUAAACUGGUUGUGGUCAAAUGGAAAUAUUUGAAGGGUUGCCACGUGGAAGAGGGAUUUAGGCCUAUUCUGCAUGGUCCCAGAGGAUAGAACUCAGAUGAAGAAGAUGGUAACUGCUGCGGAGAGAUGGAUUUGGACGCUACAUAAAGAUCAACUAUAAGGUCUUUGCGUUUCACGGAUGAGGAAGCAGCAGGAUCUAGGAGAAAGCAAUGAACUGGGAAUCAGGAAACCUGUGCCACCACUGACGUGCUGUGUGCUCUCCGAGCACUUAACUUUUCUGAGUCUCAGUUUCCUCACAAGGAUGACCAUGGGAGCCCAGGCUUGAUUGGAGGAUCCGAUGAGAUCAUGGAUGUGAAGCACUUUGUAACAUUAGACAAAUAGGAGGUGCUAAUAUGAUGAUGCCUGCUUUAAGUGCUUUUUCUGAAGCGAAUCAAGGUCAUUAUUCUCUGUUUCGAGAUGCUGAAAUCAAGGCAGAGAGAUGUGAAGGGACAUGGAUCCCGCUUCAUAGUGCCUGGACCAAGAGGUCUCCCUACAUUGGGAGGACUUCAGUGGCUGCCCAUGGCCUGGUACUUCCUCUCCUUCUGAGAAUGGCACCAUUACAUAACUGUCUGGGGCGGUGCCCCAGACCACAGAGAUUUUCCUUCUGCCCAGCUGCAUGAGGUACACCUAUUUUGGGAUGGAAUCAGGAAGAUGGCCACUUUCACACCAACUGGGGUGCCCUAGCACCUACCUCUCUUCUUCCCACACUCCCACUGCCCACCCUCCACUCCCCACCCCCUGCUGUUGGUAUGGGCUCUGCUCUAGGGCAAAGGGCUCAUCCUCUUAUGCUCCCUCAGAUCAGGGAAGUAUCUCUGGCCUCUCUCUGGUUCUCUGUCCCUAAAGAAUCUCCCAGCUGUCAUCUACCCUUUAUAACUGUCUCCAGAGCAUUCUCUCUUCUGCUUCUCCAACACUGUGGCCUCUUCUGUGAAGUUCUCUAACCAUGGGUUUCCCCAACACCUCCCUGCCCCUUGCAAGCUCCCCCUCAUCAUCAUCUUCAUCUCAGAGAAAGAAAUGAAAAAGAAAUUCAAGUGACUCAUCGGUGCACGUAGCAGGAGGGGAGAAGCAGAGAGAGUGAGUUUGUGGGUCCAGAUGAGUAUGUCUGCAGGCCUCUUCACUGCUUCACACGAUCUGCUGAGCUUCAUGAAAGAGAAGAUAUAAAAAUCUGAGCGGUGCCAUAUUGUCUCCAAAAGCAGCCGGCGUGAAAAUGAAGUGCGACUGCCACCUCCUCAUAACGCAAGGCAGCUCCUGCCUCACAUGCUCAAAUGUGGCUCAGAGGCUGGCUGGGCAGCCUCAGGAAAGAUGCCUAUCGAUCAGCCACUGAACCUCAGCCACCCACCUGGCCUGGGGCUCCCCCAGGCCUCAAGGCUGCCCUCUCCAAGGGCUGGGGCUCCACUCUUUGUCAGGCCCCCUGGAUCACAGCAGUGUCUGCUGGGGGCACUAAGCAGGGAGCCAGCAAGGGGUGCCUUCUCUGGAGGCACAGUCCACCAGCAGCCCUGGGCUUGGCAAGUCCUGAAUUCUAUGCUCUUUGGCUGGCUGGAGGGCUGCUAGACCAGGAUUCAUACUGAGCUGAGUGCGCACGAUGAGGGGGAGUCAGAGUAGGUGGGCCUGGCACCUCCAUCAACCAGAGAGGCUCUGCUUUAAUCCACUUUACAUACUGGGCAUCUGCCUGAGAUUUCAUUGGGAGAAACAAAACAAAAACCAGAGUCCAGUGCAAUUACAAACAAAAAGAGCAAACAAUCUUGGAAGCCCCCAUCCAUCUAACCCCGUGUUUCUCGAACUUGAGCAUGGCUCAGAUCUCCUGGAGGGCUAGAUAAAACACAGAUGGCUGGGCCCCUCCCCAGAGUUGCUGAGUCAGUAUGUCCGGGUGGGGCUGAUAUUCUGUAUUUCUAACAAGCUCCCAGGGGUCCCCAGUGUUGUUGUUCUGGGGAUACACUGUAAGAACCACUGAUCCAGCCCAAAUUUUCCCUUCAAAGCCAGGAGAGGAGACUCCUUCAAGGUACCUUGGCAAGUUAGAGACAAGAUAGAAUAGAGGCCCACUCUCUGAUGGCCCCUCCUCCUACCACCCACCCAACCCCACCUGGUCCAGGGCUUGUCCAUCACACCCUGCACCUGCUCCAGCACAACAGGACCCUGGACAGAGAAGGCCACUCAGACCUGGGCUCUGGGGUGACUUUAUCCCUGGGUCAGUGAUUAAAGGGGAGCAAUUCUAACCCAGAGCCCGUGCUCAGCCAGCCUGUGUGCCCCGUAUGGGGAAGUUGCAUCAGACCCUCAGGCCAUCAGGAUGCUUGCUUCUCCAGACUUCACUUCUGCAUGGCUUUAUUUAUCAUCGAGCCUUCUACGAUCUCCUUUCUUUAUUCUUUCACCCAACACAUCCUUAUUGAGAUCUUCUAGGUGCUGGGUGCUGUCCCAGAUCCUGAGAUAAAGAGAACUCUGAGACUCAGGUCCUUCCCUGCCCUCCAGGACUUCACAAUCAGGGAGGAAAAUGAACCUGAUCAAGUCACUGCCUUGUGAAAGGAAAAGAGGAAUGGGGAGGGUUUCAUCUGGCAGGCAGGAAGACGUUAACAGAUGAGAGGCAUGGGGUGGGGAGGACACCUUCAGUGUAAGGAUUAAAUAAAGAGAAGCAUUAAUGGAGUAUGCACUGUCCAUCAGUGGCUUUCCAUACUUGUUUUAUCCUCACAACCAUCCCUGUAGGAGGUAUCGUUAUUAAAUCCUCGUUUACAGGUGAGAAAACUAAAGCUCAGAGAGGUUAUGCAACUCACCUGAGGCCACACAGCUACUGAAACUCAGGUUUUCUGACCCCAGAAGCCCAUCUCUUAACUACAACACCAUCUUAUCACUCUUAGCACGGGACGGACAGCUAGUGCCUGUCUGGAGGGUAGGGAGGAGGAGGUUGACUGAAGCUCUGGAGAGGUGUGGGGGAGUUGUUGGAAUGUAGAGGGAAAGACAGGUUGGGGCUUUGUUUGUUGAGGAGCUAGACUGCCAGGAUGAGUCAUUUGAGCCUAACUCAGGAGGCUGCAGGGGCCACUGAAGGGUUUUGAGCAGGAGAGGGAUGCACGGCACGACAGUGUUUUAAGGGAAGUCCUCGGGCAGCAGUGGGCAGAUUAGGUUGGAAAGGGAGACACUGGUGACCAGAAGACCACACUGGAGGCUACUGAAGAGGUUCAGAAGCUAGAAAAUGAGGGCCUGGCUUCGGCAGGUGGCAGGCACGGAGGGAGACGCAAGCGCAGAUGGUCUCUUAUCAUUGUUAUUGCAAACAUUUUUUGACCACUGAUCACGUGCCUUGCUAUAGUAACUCAUUUAAUCCUGACAGUAGCUUCUACAUCAGAUCCCUCUCCUUUGGACAUUUCUUGCCCCUCCUUUGUCUCUACUGAUGGGUCCCCAUGCCUGGCAGUUUUUCCGUUUGGGGAUCAAGACCUGCAGCUUCUUCUUUGAACAUAGGAAUCACAGACUGAGACAACUCAGGAUCCAGAAAUCAUGAUCAAUCUCAGAACAAUUUCUUCUAUUAUAUAGCUGAGGAAGCUGAGGUCUGGAGAGGAUCUUUAACUUGUCCCAUCGAGGAAGCCACAGAGCCUGGUCCAGAGGUGGGAAGUCUCUCUCCUACCUACUCCAGGCUCUGGCUUCCUACACCAUCUCCCUGCUUCCCAGGGCCAGGCUGGAGGCCCUGCAGCUGUGGUGGUGCCAGAUGGCAUCUCAGUCACCAGGCUGGAGGGCGCCUGAGGACCCUGCGGUCAGCGCCAGGCUGGCAGCCCUUCACCCACACUGGCACUGCGGGCACAGGGCGGAGGCACUGAGUGAAGGGAGCACAUGCAGGGAGAAGACAAGAAUGUGGGUGACUCACACCCUUUGCAGUGUUGUCACAGCUGUUCAGGGAGCAUCCCAGCCUGGAUGAGGCAGCUGCCAUCUUCACUUUGUCAGAGAGUCACUCUUGGCCCAGGCAGCCACCACUCUAAGAGGAGAGGAGAUGGAGGUAGGCUAUAAAUGGGCAGCACUGUCCAGAAGAGAUGGUGCCUUCCAGUGAGUUAGAAAACUUCAGCUCCACUCCCAGCUCUGCUCUUGCUCUUUCCAGUGGUGUGACUUUGGGCAUGUUGCCACCUGACGUUGAUGAGCCUCAUUCUUCUUAUCUGUUCAUGGGUACAAUAGUCUUUGCUUGCCCUAUCUUGGAGAUGUGGAGAGUGGCCAGUAGGCUAAUGCAUGGAAAAAGAAGGCUUUUGCAAACCUAGAAGUUUCCACGCAUGUGUUUUGGUCUGUUCAGGCUGCUAUGACAAAAUAUCACAGAUUGGGUGGCUUGUAAGGAACAGAAAUUUGUUUCUUACAUUUCUGGCAGCUGGGAAGUCCAAGAUGAAAGCACCAGCAUGGCAGUAUUCUGGGCAGGGCCCAUGUCCUGGUUCACAGCUGUCGUCUUGUGUCUGUGUCUUCACAUGGUGGAAGGGCAGUGGCUCUGUGUGGAACCUUGUUUAUAAGGAUGCUAAUCCCAUUCACGAGAGCUUCUCCCUCAUGACCUAAUCACCUCCCAGAGGCCCAGCUCCUAAUACCAUCACCUGGGGAGCUAGGAUUUCAACAUGUGAAUUUUCAUUCUGUAUCAUUGUUAAUGCGUACAAUAUCAUUAAACCUUCUCAAAGGAAACGUGGUAAAAUGUAAACAUAUCUCUGUAAGGGGUAUACUUGAACCCUCCACACUGUUUUGCAAUCCUUCUGUAUGUUUGAAAUUACUUCAAAAUAAAAUGUUAAAAAAAGUUACCUUCUCUUUCAUUCAGCCAGGCUCACCAUGAGACAGGCAUACUUCAGUGAACAAGAAAGAUCUCUGCCCUUGGAGCUUACGUGCUAGCAGGCAGAGAGGAACAUUAAUCCACACAAGAAAUACGAAACGCGUCUGUUAAUACAACCUAAUACAGAAAGUGUUCAGACUUAGGGGGAAAAAGUAGAACAGCAUAAGGGGGAGCAGAAGUCCCAGGUUUGGGGUGAUGGCGAGGGA
This 5433-nucleotide long non-coding RNA is filed under the name Equus asinus (donkey). RNAcentral's name for it is "lncRNA (ENSEASG00005031148.1)". Lineage: Eukaryota; Metazoa; Chordata; Mammalia; Perissodactyla; Equidae. The record is from RNAcentral.